GAAAAGAGCUACCCUACUAUUAAUACAGUAUCGCAAAAGCAAGCGGCGAUCUGAAUUAGUCAUAUUAUCUCUUGCCAACAAAAGUGACGAUCAUAUCCCAACGAUUUUAAACGCAUUACUUCGAAGAACCUUAAAUCAGGGAAUUAUCCAGAGGGGAAUGUCCAAGCGAAAGGCCGAGGACACACAAUCCGACAAAAUGGCAACCGCCGAGAAAGUAGCACAGAAUGAUUAUACCAUUGGCUUGGUGGAUCCCGUGAAGGAUUACCAAAAACUCAUCGAAACACGCGUGCAGGUAGACGAAAUCGUGGAUGAUGAUGUCACCAAGGAGAAUUUCGAUCGAACGGCUGCAUCGGCGCGUGACGUCAUUUGGCGACUGAUAUUCGACGAUGCCGGUACCUCGCAAUUAAACACAGAGAAGGCCAGCCAAUUGCUGGAGGAAUACCGUGGUGACGCCUGCUUCUACGACCCGAUGCCCUACAACGAGUGGAUUGUCAAGCUGAGGGAUGAGGUUCUGAAGAGGGAGCUCCUUGACUUUUGGCGUGAUGUCCUGGUGAAAAAGCAAUUGGGUCCUUGUUGGUCACGCGACUGUGAUCUCUUUGACAGCGACGACACCCCGCCAUUAGAGUUCUACGCCCACGCCGGAUGUACGGCUCCAUUCGCAGCCAGCUUAAAAGUGCGCGCUGCACAAGAAGAGCAGGCUUCACUGAAUCAGGAUGAGGCAGCGGUGUCCACCACACCGGGUGAACUGAGUGCCGAUGAUGCCGCCGCCCGGUCCGGUGAAUUUGAGGCCGCCCUGACAAAGGAAAAUCCUCUCGAAGAAUACCGCUCGCUAAUGAAGCGCUUUGUCCUGGCCAAAGUCAUCGUUCCGGACAGCAUUCACCAGGCCAGCGUGAAUAAGAUAGCGGCAGCCGCCAGGGAGAUCAUCUGGAAGCUUCUCUUCGAUGGCACACCCUCGGCGGAGGAUCAGAACAAGGCAGCCGAGUUGUUGCAGGAGUACAAGGGUGAUGCUGGAUUCUAUGGUCCGGAUGACUACAACGAUUGGAUUUUCAAGCUGAGGGAUGAGGUUCUAACCAAAGAGCUUCUCGACUUUUGGCGCGAGAAGAUGGUAAAAAUGGAACUGGGUCCCAGUUGCGCCCGUGAUUCCGACUAUUACGACUACGAGGAUCCCCUGCCAUUGGAGUUUUACGAAAAGGCCGGUUGCAAAGCUCCCUUUGAAGCCACUUCAAAUGAUGAUUAGUACCGCAUCAGAGAAUUAGUGGUUGAUGACUCUAGGUCUUUAUACAUAACCAAACAGAAGUUCGAAAAACAUACUCUCCUCAUGUACUAAAGCACCUAUUCUGGUCUGAAUCUCUGAAAGCAAAAAAUGUCAGAAAUUGUUAAUCGAAAAUGAAUAAAAUAAGCCUCUUUUAUAACUGUUCCGUAAAAUA
RNA transcript from Drosophila teissieri, 1427 nucleotides. RefSeq lists it as uncharacterized. Lineage: Eukaryota; Metazoa; Arthropoda; Insecta; Diptera; Drosophilidae. The record is from RefSeq and is a predicted model, not a curated record. The transcript has 3 exons.